RNAcentral lists this transfer RNA (65 nucleotides) under Melamphaus rubrocinctus. RNAcentral's name for it is "tRNA-Cys". The record is from RNAcentral. Lineage: Eukaryota; Metazoa; Arthropoda; Insecta; Hemiptera; Pyrrhocoridae.
GGCUUUAUAGUCAAUAAAUUAUGAUAUUAGAUUGCAAGUCUAAAGUAACAACUUAGUUAAAGCUU